GAUGAACGCUAGCGGCAGGCUUAACACAUGCAAGUCGAGGGGCAGCAUACCCGGUGACGGGUGAUGGCGACCGGCGUAAGGGUGAGUAACGCGUGAGCAACAUACCCGUAUCAGUGGGAUAAUACAGGGAAACUUGUUCUAAUAUCACAUAAUAUUAUACAGAGGCAUCUUUGUAUAAUUAAAGUUCAGGCGGAUACGGAAUGGCUCGCGUGACAUUAGCUAGAUGGUAGGGUAAAGGCCUACCAUGGCUAUGAUGUCUAGGGGUUCUGAGAGGGAGGUCCCCCACACUGGAACUGAGACACGGUCCAGACUCCUACGGGAGGCAGCAGUGAGGAAUAUUGGACAAUGGAUGAAAAUCUGAUCCAGCCAUGCCGCGUGCAGGAAGGCGGCCCUAUGGGUUGUAAACUGCUUUUGUACGGGAGCAAUAAGGUCUACGAGUAGAUUGAUGAGAGUACUGUACGAAUAAGCAUCGGCUAACU
This 479-nucleotide ribosomal RNA is filed under the name uncultured bacterium. Its description in RNAcentral is "bacterial SSU rRNA". It matches the Rfam family "Bacterial small subunit ribosomal RNA", at positions 28 to 502 of the family's 1533-position model. The record is from RNAcentral.